Molecule: ribosomal RNA, 467 nt
Filed under: uncultured bacterium
Lineage: Bacteria
Description: partial 16S ribosomal RNA
Rfam family: Bacterial small subunit ribosomal RNA
Source: RNAcentral
GACGAACGCUGGCGGCGUGCUUAACACAUGCAAGUCGAACGGAAAGGCCCUGCUUUUGUGGGGUGCUCGAGUGGCGAACGGGUGAGUAACACGUGAGUAACCUGCCCUUGACUUUGGGAUAACUUCAGGAAACUGGGGCUAAUACCGGAUAGGAGCUCCUGCUGCAUGGUGGGGGUUGGAAAGUUUCGGCGGUGGGGGAUGGACUCGCGGCUUAUCAGCUUGGUGGGGGGGUAGUGGCUUACCCACGCUUUGACGGGUAGCCGGCCUGGGAGGGUGACCGGCCACAUGGGGGCUGAGAUACGGCCCAGACUGCUACGGGGGGCAGCAGUGGGGAAUAUGGCACAAGGGGCGGAGGCCGGAUGCAGCAACGCCGCGUGCGGGAUGACGGCCUUCGGGUUGGAAACCGCUUUCGCCUGUGACGAAGCGUGAGUGACGGUAAUGGGGAAAGAAGCACCGGCUAACUACGG